RNAcentral lists this ribosomal RNA (839 nucleotides) under uncultured Veillonella sp. RNAcentral describes it as "bacterial SSU rRNA". It matches the Rfam family "Bacterial small subunit ribosomal RNA", at positions 28 to 838 of the family's 1533-position model. Lineage: Bacteria; Bacillati; Bacillota; Negativicutes; Veillonellales; Veillonellaceae. The record is from RNAcentral.
GACGAACGCUGGCGGCGUGCUUAACACAUGCAAGUCGAACGAAGAGCGAUGGAAGCUUGCUUCUAUCAAUCUUAGUGGCGAACGGGUGAGUAACGCGUAAUCAACCUGCCCUUCAGAGGGGGACAACAGUUGGAAACGACUGCUAAUACCGCAUACGAUCUGACCUCGGCAUCGAGGAUAGAUGAAAGGUGGCCUCUAUUUAUAAGCUAUCACUGAAGGAGGGGAUUGCGUCUGAUUAGCUAGUUGGAGGGGUAACGGCCCACCAAGGCGAUGAUCAGUAGCCGGUCUGAGAGGAUGAACGGCCACAUUGGGACUGAGACACGGCCCAGACUCCUACGGGAGGCAGCAGUGGGGAAUCUUCCGCAAUGGACGAAAGUCCGACGGAGCAACGCCGCGUGAGUGAUGACGGCCUUCGGGUUGUAAAGCUCUGUUAAUCGGGACGAAAGGCCUUCUUGCGAAUAGUUAGAAGGAUUGACGGUACCGGAAUAGAAAGCCACGGCUAACUACGUGCCAGCAGCCGCGGUAAUACGUAGGUGGCAAGCGUUGUCCGGGAUUAUUGGGCGUAAAGCGCGCGCAGGCGGAUUGGUCAGUCUGUCUUAAAAGUUCGGGGCUUAACCCCGUGAUGGGAUGGAAACUGCCAAUCUAGAGUAUCGGAGAGGAAAGUGGAAUUCCUAGUGUAGCGGUGAAAUGCGUAGAUAUUAGGAAGAACACCAGUGGCGAAGGCGACUUUCUGGACGAAAACUGACGCUGAGGCGCGAAAGCCCAGGGAGCGAACGGGAUUAGAUACCCCGGUAUCCUGGCCGUAAACGAUGGGUACUAGGUGUAGGAGGUAUCGACCC